UGCCUACGGGGGGCAGCAGUGGGGAAUAUUGCACAAUGGGGGAAACCCUGAUGCAGCGACGCCGCGUGAGUGAAGAAGUAUUUCGGUAUGUAAAGCUCUAUCAGCAGGGAAGAAAAUGACGGUACCUGACUAAGAAGCCCCGGCUAACUACGUGCCAGCAGCCGCGGUAAUACGUAGGGGGCAAGCGUUAUCCGGAUUUACUGGGUGUAAAGGGAGCGUAGACGGCUAUGCAAGUCUGGAGUGAAAGGCGGGGGCCCAACCCCCGGACUGCCCUGGAAACGGUAGAGCUAGAGUGCAGGAGGGGG
Molecule: ribosomal RNA, 305 nt
Filed under: uncultured bacterium
Lineage: Bacteria
Description: partial 16S ribosomal RNA
Rfam family: Bacterial small subunit ribosomal RNA
Source: RNAcentral